ACUCCUACGGGAGGCAGCAGUGGGGAAUAUUGCACAAUGGGCGCAAGCCUGAUGCAGCCAUGCCGCGUGUGUGAAGAAGGCCUUAGGGUUGUAAAGCACUUUCAGUAAGGAGGAAAGGUUAGUAGUUAAUACCUGCUAGCUGUGAUGUUACUUACAGAAGAAGCACCGGCUAACUCCGUGCCAGCAGCCGCGGUAAUACGGAGGGUGCGAGCGUUAAUCGGAAUUACUGGGCGUAAAGCGUACGCAGGCGGUUUGUUAAGCUAGAUGUGAAAGCCCCGGGCUCAACCUGGGAACUGCAUUUCGAACUGGCAAACUAGAGUAUGAUAGAGGGUGGUAGAAUUUCAGGUGUAGCGGUGAAAUGCGUAGAGAUCUGAAGGAAUACCGAUGGCGAAGGCAGCCACCUGGGUCAAUACUGACGCUCAUGUACGAAAGCGUGGGGAGCAAACGGGAUUAGAUACCCUGGUAGGAUAGCGU
Molecule: ribosomal RNA, 474 nt
Filed under: uncultured bacterium
Lineage: Bacteria
Description: bacterial SSU rRNA
Rfam family: Bacterial small subunit ribosomal RNA
Source: RNAcentral